Long non-coding RNA from Alligator sinensis (Chinese alligator), 563 nucleotides. RefSeq lists it as uncharacterized. Lineage: Eukaryota; Metazoa; Chordata; Crocodylia; Alligatoridae. The transcript has 3 exons. The record is from RefSeq and is a predicted model, not a curated record.
GUCAGAAUAAAAAAGGACAUAAUCCUUUGCAGAGGAGAGAGAGGAUGAAAUGGGCCAAAUGGUACUCUGAAAAUGGACAUUUAGUGAGAGGAGCUGUCUGAUGAGGCUGCCUGUUUGAAGAUGACCUUUGCAAACCUUUUGAGAUCUGCAUAAAUGGGGUACAAGCACAGAGGCAACACAAACCCAAAGGAGAGACCCCAAAACCGAGAAAUACCUACCUACUUUAGGUUACCAAAUGCCGACAGAACAACGCCAAGGGGAAAAGCCCGCGUGGUUCAUUAGCCGCGCUUAUAUACAGUUGAAGCUGGUGGGUGAUGUCCGCGACAUAUGCUGGCCAGCUGUGUUAAAAGCUGGCACUAGCAGGAAGAUGGAGAGAGCGGGAGAGGCAGUGGAGGCUGCAGCGGCUCUCCAUGCUGGUGAUGGGCAGUGCCGGCAAGCAAAAGAAAGUCCCGAACAGGGAGAAAUGAUCCAGGCAGCAGCAGCUGUCCACAGCCUGCACGCUGGUUACAGGCAGCACUGGAGUGCGGGAGAAGAUGCCAUCUUGAAACAAGCGGCGAACGCUG